Molecule: ribosomal RNA, 253 nt
Filed under: uncultured bacterium
Lineage: Bacteria
Description: partial 16S ribosomal RNA
Rfam family: Bacterial small subunit ribosomal RNA
Source: RNAcentral
GACGAAGGGGGCUAGCGUUGUUCGGAAUUACUGGGCGUAAAGCGCGUGUAGGCGGUUGUUCAAGUCGGGUGUGAAAGCCUUGAGCUCAACUCAAGAAAUGCACUCGGUACUGGAUGACUAGAGGACCGGAGAGGAUAGUGGAAUUCCCAGUGUAGUGGUGAAAUACGUAGAGAUUGGGAAGAACACCAGUGGCGAAGGCGGCUAUCUGGACGGUUUCUGACGCUAAGACGCGAAAGCGUGGGGAGCAAACCGG